This 575-nucleotide ribosomal RNA is filed under the name uncultured archaeon. Its description in RNAcentral is "bacterial SSU rRNA". It matches the Rfam family "Archaeal small subunit ribosomal RNA", at positions 1 to 572 of the family's 1478-position model. The record is from RNAcentral.
UCAGGUUGAUCCUGCCGGACCUGACUGCUAUCUGAUUGGUACUAAGCCAUGCGAGUCAUUGUACAAUACAAGGCAGACGGCUCAGUAACACGUAGUCAACCUAACUCGUGGACGUGGAUAACCUCGGGAAACUGAGAAUAAACCACGAUAGAUCAUUAUGCCUGGAAUGGCUUAUGGUCCAAANNUAGUUUACUGCCAUGGGAUGGGACUGCGGCCUAANUUCCAGNNCUUGNUUGGUGAGGUAAUGGCCCACCAAGCUAUAACAGGUACGGNGCUCUGAGAGGAGAAGCCCGGAGAUGGGUACUGAGACACGGACCCAGGCCCUAUGGGGCGNCAGCAGGCGAGAAACCUUAGCAAUGUGCGAAAGCACGACUGGGUCAGUCCGANGUGAUUCCUGAUAAAGGAGUCUUUUGCUUGUCCUAAAAGCACAGGUGAAUAAGGGGUGGGCAAAGUCUGGGUGUCAGCCGCCGCGGUAAUACCAGCACCUCGAGUGGUCAGGACGUUUAUUGGGCCUAAAGCAUCCGUAGCCGGCUCUGCAAGUCUUCGGUUAAAUCCACCUGCUCAACAGAUUGGGG